Molecule: ribosomal RNA, 517 nt
Filed under: uncultured Chaetothyriales
Lineage: Eukaryota; Fungi; Ascomycota; Eurotiomycetes; Chaetothyriales
Description: eukaryotic LSU rRNA
Rfam family: 5.8S ribosomal RNA (bases 158-311)
Source: RNAcentral
ACCGGGCCCGAUCUCCAACCCUCUGUCUAUCUAAACUCUUGUUGCUUUGGCGGGCCGUUGGGUCUGACCCGCCGCUGGCUUCGGCUGGCGAGCGUCCGCCAGAGUCAUUUAAAAAACCCUUUAUCCAUGACAUCUGAGUACAUUUAUAAAUUAUCAAAACUUUCAACAACGGAUCUCUUGGUUCUGGCAUCGAUGAAGAACGCAGCGAAAUGCGAUAGGUAAUGUGAAUUGCAGAAUUCAGUGAAUCAUCGAAUCUUUGAACGCACAUUGCGCCCUUUGGUAUUCCGGAGGGCAUGCCUGUUCGAGCGUCAUUUCAACCCUCAAGCCCGGCUUGGUAUUGGGCGACCUCCCCAAUCGGAGGUGCUCGAAAAUCAAUGGCGGCGAACCCAAACCUUUGAGCGCAGUAAAAUAUUUCGUUCUGCAAGGGGAGGUGACGUCUGCCAACUACACUUCUAAGGUUGACCUCGGAUCAGGUAGGGAUACCCGCUGAACUUAAGCAUAUCAAUAAGCGGAGGAA